AUAAGAAUUAAAAAGAAACUAUAACUAUAAAAUUCAUAUAUUCAUUAUUCAUUCACUAUAAAUUUCAUUGCAGAUCUCCAAUGCUCCAAUUUGCCAAAUAAACCUGCUCGCCAAUAGAGAAAGGCGAGUACAACGGGACUCGUAUCUUCGUCCAUCAACGACACGGAAGACAAAGGAGAAAACAAGGUUCUCGACGGAGGCACAAUAUUCGCGUAGGUGAAAGGGGCCGGGAGCGUGGCGGCGCGUGUCCCACGUUCCCUCGAAUAAUAUGUAAACGCGCGUGGCACAGCCGCACCGACGCCGGCCACGCCGAAGACGGAGAAGGAAAGAAGAGGGAACACGGCGGGGCCAAGUAUUUGUCAGCAUUGCGAAACGUCAUAAUGGAGGCUCGAUGCUAAUAACGGAUUUUCGAAAGGGCAAUGCGCCCGGUGUAGGCGCGUGUCUCACCCCGGCGAGUGCAUAUACAGGAAAAUCAAGCACGCAUCACGUAUCCACGCGAGAGAAAGAUAUAUAUAUUAUAUAUGUACGAGAGUAAGCGAGAAAAGGAAGGCAAGGAUAGAUUAUAUAUAUAUAUAUACGCGAAUCGUGUCGCUUCAACCCCCCUGUUCGCAGCAGGAAGCCGUCGAAUCCUCGCGCUGUUGCACGCCCACGCAAACACGACUCUGCCACGGGGAGACAGGAGAGAGAGAAAAAUUGAAGGCACAUGAUAUAAUGACGACGCUGACAAAAGAACAAAACGGUUACGGGAGCUCACCUCUCCCUCCCCCCUCUUUUCUAACUACUCGCCCGGCCCUCCCCCCCCGUCUUUGACUCCCGUUGAAUAUUUAUAACUCGGUUUCGAAUCGCGAGAUCAUGCUUUUUACGGUAGUCAAGGGGGAGCACGAAAUAAGAGCGAGAGUAUUGAAAAAAGAUGGGAAGAGAAGAGGAGGAGAGGGGAGGAGGGACCAACGGCCCGUUUUGUUUGAUGUAUCGUGACGAGUGGAAAUCAAUUUUAAUUGAAUUGAUUAUAAGCUACCCACGGGAGGAGCGGUACACUGUCGCCGACAGUGAAACACGGUGACUGUGUACCGUACCCCAUAGGUCGGACGGUUGGCAAGUACCAUCUGAGCGUUUCACAACUUGGCAGACUCGCGAAACGUUCCGAUAAUGAACUUCGAGGAUUUCGUAUUCAUGUAUUCCAUGUGCGAGCGUCACUCGUUGUCUGCUAUGAAUGCAUUUAACCAAGGGACCAUCGAUCCACUUGUUCCGGUUAUAGAGAUUUGUUUCGAAACUGUCUAUGAUUAAAUCAAAUGGUAUCAUGAAAUUGAAAAGGAAAGAGAAUAUCUUUGUAUUCGAAUUUGGCAAUGCUCUUCGAAGAUCAUAUAUCAAGAUACGUCCAUCGAUCCACUUGUUAGGGUUAUAGAGAUUGUUUCGAAACUGUCUAUGAUUAAAUCGUUCAAAUGGUAUCAACGAUGAAAUUGAAAAGGAAAGAGAAUAUCUUUGUAUUUGAAUUUGGCAAUGCUCUUCGAAGAUCAUAUAUAUCAUAUCAAGAUACGUCCAUCGAUCCACUUGUUAGAGUUAUAAAGAUUGUUUCGAAACUGUCUAUGAUUAAAUCGUUCAAAUGGUAUCAACGAUGAAAUUGAAAAGGAAAGAGAAUAUCUUUGUAUUCGAAUUUGGCUCUUGUUCUUUGAAGAUUAUAUAUCAAGAUACGUCCAUUGAUCCACUUGUUAGGGUUAUAGAGAUUGCUUCGAAACUGUUAAAGCGCUUCUUUCCAUCAGUUCUCUGUAAAUCUUUGUAAUCUGAAAUAUUGAUUUUUACGUUGCAGGUAUCAACGAUGAAAUUGAAAAGGAAAGAGAAUAUCUUUGUAUUCGAAUUUGGCAAUGCUCUUCGAAGAUCGUAUAUACAUAUCAAGAUACGUCCAUCGAUCCACUUGUUAGAGUUAUAGAGAUUGUUUCAAAACUGUCUAUGAUUAAAUCGUUCAAAUGGUAUCAACGAUGAAAUUGAAAAGGAAAGAGAAUAUCUUUGUAUUCGAAUUUGGCUCUUGUUCUUUGAAGAUAAUAUAUCAAGAUACGUCCAUUUCAAAGAUGCAUCUCGUCUCAAAGAAAUUAUUAAAUCCGAAGAACCGAAGGUUGUAAGGGAGUUUCCCCCUUUCUCCCCGGGAACGUGGUUCGAUGGAUGGAUGGCCCCCACGGUAAUCCUCACCCUCGCCGAAAAAAAAAGAGCCAAGGGGAGGAGGAGGAGGGUUUAACAGUUUACACGUCGGAUCAUCCCUCGUUAUUGUUGCGUUUAUGAUAAUAGCGGCACGAACGCAGGCCCGGCUGACCGGUUCAACCCCAUCCAGAGGGUCGCAAUCGUUACCCAUGCUCAGGUAUUUAAUUAGACGGCUUUAUGCUGAAUUUCACAACGAGAUAUUAAUUUCUUUACUUCUUCAUAUUCUUCUUCCUUUCUCCGAGCAAGUGUAAAAUCACAGGGGAGAGGGCUGUAUUCUUCAAAGAUUGAUUCUCGAUUUUUUAGAGAUUGAAUGAAAUAAAUAGUAAUUGAUAAGCCGUUGAAAGUAUAGAAAGCUGUAUGGAUCCUAUCUUGAAAUUACCGAGCGGUGCAAUCUCGAUCUCUACAAUGUUUCAUCACGGAUACCGUUCUCCACGCCGGAAAUAAAAAGAGAAUCUAUGUAUGGCUGGUGAUUUAAUUGGAAAGUCGCGGUCGCCCAGAAAAAAAAUGAUUUUUCGAUGUUAAAAUGGCGGACAAUUAAUUACAAAAUGAAAGCUCCGCCUGCCUCGUCGCGAACCCCGCGAAAUUGUAUUGGAAAGCAGACGAGAAGCGGCGGGGGUGAGGGAAGAGGGGGGGAAGGGGGAGGGAAAGAGAGGGAGAUAUGUUCAUACGUAGAUAGUAUAUGCGCUGUGUUGCCUAUCCGCCAUGGGUAUUGGAUUGGAUUGGAUCGCCGCGUCAGCAAUACAAACACUCGAAGUCUCGAUGUGGGUCGGCCUCUCCCGUUCCUGUUUCAAACUGAAAUUACACUUUCCCGACCGACCCCGUCGUACCCCGAAGCCCCCCCUCCUUCUAUCUAGCUCCAUUUUCCCUUCACGUUGUAGUUUUUCUCUCGUCAUCAACAGCGUCCAAGAUUUUACCAAACUUCUUCGUCUAACUCCAACUAAACGUUAACGGUAACAAGAAGAUAUCAGAAAUCUUUGAGACACGGAGUUGAGAUGAAAUGAUAAGACAAUAGGAUUUUGGAAUCGCAAUUCAAAAGUCAAAAGAUUUAGGAUAAAUCUUGUGUGAGGAAAAUUAAUAUGGAUUUAAUUGGCGAAUGAAAUGUUGAAUAAAUGGUGCUGGAAUUGUAAGGUGGAGAGAUAAUUUUUAUGAAGAGAGGAGAGGCAGAAGCGACCGGUUAGCCAAAGGUUUCCGUCCAAAGGAUUAGAAAUUAAAGGCGAGUCGGUGAAUUCGAGAUAUAAAUUUUCUCUCCAGCGGUUGAGAGUGAAAAAGAGUUGUGCGACCGCGGCACGGGAAUCGAAACCCUUUAGCCUCCGCUUUCCUCGAGAGGCGAGACCAACCGACUAACUCGAAUGAAAAGGCACCAGUGCUGGUAAGAGACACUUCGUACACGCUCCUGCUGGCGUGUAUCCGAGCACAAAAAAAAGAAGAGAAGGAAAAGGAAAUAGAGAAAGAGAGAAAAGAGACGAAGAGGAAGGAGAAGACGCUUAUUUAGCUUACCUUUUACUUACACGUGCUAUACAAUGUUUACCUACACCCACCUAAGCAUAUAAGACUGGAGGGACUGCUUGAGAGGAAUAAUGUUUGCGUAAGAAGAACGGAUAGCGAUUUCGAUAUUUAAAAAAAAAAAGGGAAAACGUCAAGGUUGCCGUAUUGGUGACUUUCAAAUCAGGAUAAGAUCCGAAUGUUUAAGAAUAGAAUCAAGCUUACUGUUUGCGAGUUGAAGAAAAUUUUUCAUUUUUCUUCUUUUCCAACUUUCUAAAACCUCGAUAUCAAAGCGAAAAAGACUCUACGAUUUCGGUGAUACCAUAUCACUUGUUUCAAAAACAUCUCACAAGGAGAGAAGAGUGCUGGGGAGAAAUACAAAGAAAAAGGAAAAAAAAAAAGGAGAAGAAGAAGAAAGAUGGACAUACAUUCUAUCCAAAUGUGGCGCAACUACCUGACGACAAGAACAAUGAAAGAGCAAAGAGCGUGCGUUCCCCAUCGUGGCUGGUAGCCGUGUACAAGAUGGCGCCAGGCAGGCCGGAGGCCGGAGUACCACUCGGGCGAUUUCCGGUGGCUUUGUUCCACGUACCACUCGUACACGGGGUGUAUUCGAUGAAACUCGAGGCUUAAAGGCGCGUUUUUCAGCCACGCUACCAGCUUACGUGCGUGCGCGCGAGAUAUAAAGAGGUUUUUCUUCUAUGAAGCCAGUUAGCCAACGAACCGGUAAUUCCUCCGACCGCCUUCUUCCUUCUCUCCACGCGGGCUCCUCUCGCUUUCUCCCUCUUUAUUUCUCUCUGUAUGCGCCCUCCUCUCCGUAGCCCCCUUCAACUUCCUCUUUUCGCACGCUCCCGACUUCAACUUCUUCCCCUUCUUCUUCUUCUCCUCCUCCGCCUCUUCCUUCUUCUUCCUCGUCUUUCUCCCUACCUCUCUUCCGUUCUUUCGCCGUGCUUCUUCCCUUUCUUUUCCCGCCCUUUGCUGUUUGCCCGCAUUCAUUCUCGCCUUUGCCAGACCCGUGGAAAAGAAGAAACGAGCCGGGUGCAACUCAAGAUUUCCCCUACUCCCUGGACCGCCACCCUCUUCCUCUUUCUCUCUUAGCGUUUUCCUGUUCCUCUUUUUAGUCGCCGGUAAUGGAGGCCCUCGAACGCCGGCCCUUCUAGCGCCUCGACGAGCCUGCCUCGGCGAAACGAAACGAAACGAAACGAAACGAGACGAGAGACGAGACACGUUUACCCCCACCCUCGACGAAUGACUUUUACUUUCUUCCUCCAUUCGUAGUCGAGCUCCGUUUUCCUGUUUCUGUCGGCCACGGUGAUUCGUUCGAGAGGAAAAUACCAACUUCUCUCUCUUUCGUCGGAAAAACCAGCGUUGCUGUGUGGUUCACAUAUCGCUUCAAAGAUUUGUCAAUUUUUAUUUUUUUUUACAUGGCUUGAUAUUAAUUAUAAAAUAUAUAUUUUUAUAUGAUAAUUUUAUGAUGCGUUAAUCAUAUUUGUACGAAAUAAUUGUAGAAUUAUUAAAAUUCAUAUUGACAAAAUCUACAUCACGAUUCUGAAUAUUGUAUAGGAUAUUCAUCGAUGAUUAUCGGAAUCCGCAACGCCGUUUUGGACAUUUGCCAAUGCGUUCGUGGCCUUUCGAUUGUAUCGAAAUCCACAUUGAGAUUUUACCCGAUUUAUACCGCGGCCGUCAAUUCGUAAUUAUUACUGAAAUUUUCGACUGGAUUUGAAAUAUUUUGCGGUUUUGUAAUUAUCAUUCGAACGUUGAAUUUUCAGUAUUAUUUGAAAUUUAUUCAAUAUCGUAACGUUAAAAAACGAAAGAUUCUAGAUAUUUUAUGGUAGACAU
RNAcentral lists this long non-coding RNA (5508 nucleotides) under Apis mellifera (honey bee). Its description in RNAcentral is "uncharacterized LOC113218769, transcript variant X6". The record is from RNAcentral. Lineage: Eukaryota; Metazoa; Arthropoda; Insecta; Hymenoptera; Apidae.